UUACGGUCAUAUCACAUUGAAACGCCGGUGCUUGUUCGAUCAACGAAGUUAAGCAACUUCGAGCCUAUUCAAUACUUGAUGGUUGACCGCUUGGGAAUACCAAGUGCUGUAAG
Acanthosepion pharaonis is the source of this 113-nucleotide non-coding RNA. The record is from the annotation of a GenBank genome assembly. Lineage: Eukaryota; Metazoa; Mollusca; Cephalopoda; Sepiida; Sepiidae.